UGCCCAGCAACUCCUAUCCCUACCUCCUCGUGUUACCGACCGGAAACUAUGAGCAACCUUAGGGAAGAUCGGGUAACCAACCCCGGUGGGAACUUUGGUCGUAGGCUGACAGGGAAGG
Non-coding RNA from Aedes albopictus (Asian tiger mosquito), 118 nucleotides. The record is from Rfam. Lineage: Eukaryota; Metazoa; Arthropoda; Insecta; Diptera; Culicidae.